GACAGAGGGUGCGAACGUUGUUCGGAAUUACUGGGCGUAAAGCGCGUGUAGGCGGCAGCGUAAGUCGGGCGUGAAAUCCCACGGCUCAACCGUGGAAGUGCACUCGAAACUGCGCAGCUAGAGUCCUGGAGAGGAAGGUGGAAUGCUUGGUGUAGAGGUGAAAUUCGUAGAUAUCAAGCGGAACACCGGUGGCGAAGGCGGCGUUCUGGACUGCAACUGACACUGUAAAACGAAAGCCAGGGGAGCAAACGGG
This 253-nucleotide ribosomal RNA is filed under the name uncultured bacterium. Its description in RNAcentral is "partial 16S ribosomal RNA". It matches the Rfam family "Bacterial small subunit ribosomal RNA", at positions 524 to 776 of the family's 1533-position model. The record is from RNAcentral.